RNAcentral lists this ribosomal RNA (290 nucleotides) under uncultured Methanobrevibacter sp. RNAcentral's name for it is "partial 16S ribosomal RNA". It matches the Rfam family "Archaeal small subunit ribosomal RNA", at positions 321 to 611 of the family's 1478-position model. The record is from RNAcentral. Lineage: Archaea; Methanobacteriati; Methanobacteriota; Methanobacteria; Methanobacteriales; Methanobacteriaceae.
CCCUACGGGGCGCAGCAGGCGCGAAACCUCCGCAAUGUGAGCAAUCGCGACGGGGGGAUUCCAAGUGCCAUUCUUAACGGGAUGGCUUUUCAUUAGUGUAAAGAGCUUUUGGAAUAAGAGCUGGGCAAGACCGGUGCCAGCCGCCGCGGUAACACCGGCAGCUCUAGUGGUAGCAGUUUUUAUUGGGCCUAAAGCGUCCGUAGCCGGUUUAAUAAGUCUCUGGUGAAAUCUUGCAGCUUAACUGUGGGAAUUGCUGGAGAUACUAGUAGGCUUGAGAUCGGAGAGGUAGA